Molecule: unclassified non-coding RNA, 187 nt
Filed under: uncultured Auriculariales
Lineage: Eukaryota; Fungi; Basidiomycota; Agaricomycetes; Auriculariales
Description: sequence contains ITS2
Source: RNAcentral
UAACCCUCAUUCAUGUGGUGUCAAACUGCAUGAAUGGAUUUGGACGUUGCCGUAAUUGGCUCGCCCUAAAAAUAUUAGCUUUGCGUCUAUUAGCGCGCUUGGCGUGGUGUGAUAAUUAUCUUCGCCCGCCUUAGGCCGCUUCCGAUGGCGCUGCUUCUAACAGUCCCCAUGGACAACACUCUCAAAG